CGCAAACAACGGGCGAUCGGCGGGGGGAAGUGGUAGGGUGGGGGCUUUGUCCGGAAUGACUUGGCGGAAAGAGUGCGUAGGGGGUGUGUCGCGGUGGUCGGGAAAGCGCACGGCUGAACGGUGGGCGUGCGGGCGGUACGGGCAGACUGGAGUACUGCAGGGGAGACUGGAAGUCCUGGUGUAGCGGUGGAAUGCGCAGAUAGCAGGAGGAACACCGGGGGCGAAGGCGGGUCUCUGGGCAGUAACUGACGCUGAGGAGCGAAAGCGUGGGGAGCGAACAGGAUUAGAUACCCCAGUAGUC
RNAcentral lists this ribosomal RNA (301 nucleotides) under uncultured archaeon. RNAcentral's name for it is "bacterial SSU rRNA". It matches the Rfam family "Bacterial small subunit ribosomal RNA", at positions 495 to 795 of the family's 1533-position model. The record is from RNAcentral.